Molecule: ribosomal RNA, 253 nt
Filed under: uncultured bacterium
Lineage: Bacteria
Description: partial 16S ribosomal RNA
Rfam family: Bacterial small subunit ribosomal RNA
Source: RNAcentral
UCCAGAGGGUGCGAGCGUUGUUCGGAAUUAUUGGGCGUAAAGGGCGCGUAGGCGGUGCGGUAAGUCACCUGUGAAAUCUCCUGGCUCAACUGGGAGUCUGCAGGCGAAACUGCCGUGCUGGAGUGUGGGAGAGGUGAGUGGAAUUCCCGGUGUAGCGGUGAAAUGCGCAGAUAUCAGGAGGAACACCGAUGGCGAAGGCAGGUCUCUGGGCCACUACUGACGCUGAGAAGCGAAAGCGUGGGGAGCGAACAGG